This is a non-coding RNA of Phoenix dactylifera (date palm), 2398 nucleotides long. NCBI's taxonomy places the organism in Eukaryota, Viridiplantae, Streptophyta, Magnoliopsida, Arecales, Arecaceae. The record is from RefSeq and is a predicted model, not a curated record.
UAGCGUCUAGCGAGCUUGAGAUAUCCUCCUUGCUUUCGCGAAGGAAACCCCCUGACGCCGGACUCGAGCUCCCGCGAAAUACGAUGGCCGCUUCUCUCCUCCAUCUCCCCUCCCCUGCACUCUCGCUACGGAGCAAUACGCCAAUCUCUUGUGCAAACUAUGGUGACAGUGUUGCAGUUUUUCCAAGAAAAUUUGAGUUCAAUUCCGACGUCAUUGCGAGGCCUGGAUUGCUGUGCUUUUCUACGAAAGGGUUCUUGAAGCUACGCUAUGCUCUUGAAGAAGAUUAUCUUUCCUGCGGUCUCGAGAAUUUACCGAGUUCAAAGAUGCUUGAUAGGAAAAAUGUUAACAUGGAUGAUAUGGAGGACUUUGAGAGACAGAUUCAAGAUUUCUUUAUUGAAGUCAGAACGAAGAUUGAAAUGGGAAAUAAAGAGGAUGCCAUAGACUUACUUCAAGCAAAUUAUGAAGUAGUGAAGGAGCAGAUCGACGAUGGGGCUAAAGGCAUAGAGCAAGCUGCUAUUCUAGAUGUUAUAGCUUUGGGAUACAUAGGUGUCGGCAACCUUAAGUUUGUUGAGCAUCUACUUGAUAUGUUGAAUGACAUAGUGGGUGCUCUGCAUGAUGGCUACCCACUAGUGGAUUCAAUACUAAUACAUAUGGGAAGUAUGUUCACAACUUUGGGGAAGUUUGAGGAUGCUAUUCUCGUAUACCAAAGAGGCCUCAAAAUUCUUGAGAGAGAGUUUGGAAAGAACAGUCCUUUUCUCAUAACACCACUUAUGGGAAUGGCAAAAGUCUUAAGGUUAAUUGGAAGGGUCACUAAAGCCAUAACAAUUUAUCACCGGGCUGUUUAUAUUUCGGAGAAGAACAGAGGAGCAGAAAGUGAGGAGCUUGUGAUACCUUUAUUUGCCCUUGGCAAUCUUUUUAUCAGCGAAGGAAAGGCAACAGAUGCUGAAACAUGCUUUAGCAGGAUUUUAUGCAUAUAUAAAAAAGUAUAUGGAGAAAAUGAUGGAAGGACUGGAAUGGCUAUGUGUUCUUUGGCACAUGCUCUUUGUGCAAAAGGAAGCGUGCAGGAAGCUAUUCAUAUGUAUAAAAGAGGUCUUCAAGUUGUAAGGGAUUCUAAGUUAAUGAAUUUAGAUGAUGAUGUUCUAGAAAAAAUGAGGAUUGAUUUGGCAGAGUUGCUCCAUGUUACUGGAAGGGAACAGGAGGGCAGAGAGCUACUUGAGGAAUGUUUGCUGAUCACUGAAAGGUACAAGGGGAUCGAGCAUCCUAGUUCAGUGAUUCACCUACUGAAUCUUGCAACCUCACAUUCUCGUUCAAAAAAUUUUGUUGAGGCAGAGCGCUUGCUAAGGACAUGUUUGCAUAUCAUGUCAAAAACAGUGGGCCCAAAUGAUCUGUCCAUCACUGCCCCAAUGUUACACCUGGCAGUUGCAUUAUACCAUUUAAAACGAGAUGAAGAAGCUGAAAGUCUUGCUAUUGAAGCGUUGCACAUCCGUGAAAAUGCAUAUGGAAAAGAAUCUCUUCCAGUAGGUGAAGCCCUUGAUUGCCUAGUUUCAAUUCAGACAAGAUUAAGGAGGGAUGACAGUGACAUAUUGGCCAUUUUGAAAAGAAUUUUGAGCAUGCAGGAGAAAGAGAUGGGUUAUGAAAAUGAAGAGGUGAUAACGACCCUUAAAAAGGUUGUCUACUAUCUGGAUAAAAUGGGGAAAAAAGAAGAGAAGUUGCAUCUUCAGAGGAGACUGUCCUUGCUCUGCGCCAAAUACAAGCAUAAGGUUCCUGUUUGAGAGAUUGCCGAGGUCUGGAUUCUUGCAUACUGGAUGUGGUCUUUAAGAGCUAGAAGAGUAACCUGCUCAUGCCUAUGCCACAGCGUUUGACAUGCUGAUUGGACAUCAGGUCCAGGUUCUAUGCAGGUCUGUGAAGCAGCUGCUAUAUAGUAGCCGGCCAUGCAACAACCCUUUUGACAUAAUAGUGCUGUAUCAGUGAUGGUCCAAACUACAGAUCAUUAGUUAAACUGGGAACUCCAUCAUCAUGGAUAUGGGUUCUUGAGUUCCAUAGACAUUGUUGAGCCAUAUAAGCCAGCUUUCAUAGGAUAUGUUGAUUUCUGUGCACUCGAGUGCAGUAUCUCAUCUCGUUGCCAUCCUGAGAAUAAAUGCUUUGCAUGCAUAGAAAGAUGAUGUUCAAUGUGAGGGGCCAGACAACCCUCUUGCAUCAUCCUACUACAGGGAGGAAAACAAAGGACCAUCCGAAGAGCUCGGAACAGCUGGAUAUAAAUCAUUUGAUGAAAUGUUUGAGUCUCCCAAAGCUACAAUACCAAAAUUAUACUUAUGGAAAAGGAAGAGAUUGUUUAUCUGAUAGUACAGCUUUUGUUUGGGCAUAAGUAAAGGAACCGAAGAUCAUCAUUUGAUAUCAA